GGUCUCAGUUCGGACUGCAGGCUGCAACUCGCCUGCACGAAGUCGGAAUUGCUAGUAAUCGUAGGUCAGCAUACUACGGUGAAUACGUUCCCGGGCCUUGUACACACCGCCCGUCAAACCAUGAGAGUUGGCAACACCCGAAGUCGGUAGUCUAACCGCAAGGAGGACGCCGCCGAAGGUGGGGUUGAUGAUUAGGGUUAAGUCGUAACAAGGUAGC
RNAcentral lists this ribosomal RNA (217 nucleotides) under uncultured bacterium. RNAcentral's name for it is "partial 16S ribosomal RNA". It matches the Rfam family "Bacterial small subunit ribosomal RNA", at positions 1284 to 1500 of the family's 1533-position model. The record is from RNAcentral.